AAUCUGAAAAGCCCUGGAGAAAUAGCACUCUCUUGUAAUCCCAGUGACUGGGGAGGCUGAGGCAGGAGGAU
RNAcentral lists this microRNA precursor (71 nucleotides) under Ictidomys tridecemlineatus (thirteen-lined ground squirrel). Its description in RNAcentral is "miRNA (ENSSTOG00000024061.2)". The record is from RNAcentral. Lineage: Eukaryota; Metazoa; Chordata; Mammalia; Rodentia; Sciuridae.